Molecule: ribosomal RNA, 468 nt
Filed under: uncultured bacterium
Lineage: Bacteria
Description: bacterial SSU rRNA
Rfam family: Bacterial small subunit ribosomal RNA
Source: RNAcentral
GAGUUUGAUCAUGGCUCAGAACGAACGCUGGCGGCAGGCCUAACACAGCAAGUCGAGCGCACCUUCGGGUGAGCGGCGGACGGGUGAGUAACGCGUGGGAAUAUGCCCUUCUCUGCGGAAUAGCCUCUGGAAACGGAGAGUAAUACCGCAUACGCCCUUCGGGGGAAAGAUUUAUCGGAGAAGGAUUAGCCCGCGUUGGAUUAGGUAGUUGGUGGGGUAAUGGCCUACCAAGCCGACGAUCCAUAGCUGGUUUGAGAGGAUGAUCAGCCACACUGGGACUGAGACACGGCCCAGACUCCUACGGGAGGCAGCAGUGGGGAAUCUUAGACAAUGGGGGAAACCCUGAUCUAGCCAUGCCGCGUGAGUGACGAAGGCCUUAGGGUCGUAAAGCUCUUUCGCCAGGGAAGAUAAUGACUGUACCUGGUAAAGAAACCCCGGCUAACUCCGUGCCAGCAGCCGCGGUAAUAC